This 466-nucleotide ribosomal RNA is filed under the name uncultured bacterium. RNAcentral describes it as "partial 16S ribosomal RNA". It matches the Rfam family "Bacterial small subunit ribosomal RNA", at positions 28 to 507 of the family's 1533-position model. The record is from RNAcentral.
GAUGAACGCUGGCGGCGUGCUUAACACAUGCAAGUCGAACGGUGAAAGAGAGCUUGCUCUCUGGAUCAGUGGCGAACGGGUGAGUAACACGUGAGCAAUCUGCCCCUGACUCUGGGAUAAGCGCUGGAAACGGCGUCUAAUACCGGAUACGAGCUGCGAAGGCAUCUUCAGCAGCUGGAAAGAACUUCGGUCAGGGAUGAGCUCGCGGCCUAUCAGCUAGUUGGUGAGGUAACGGCUCACCAAGGCGUCGACGGGUAGCCGGCCUGAGAGGGUGACCGGCCACACUGGGACUGAGACACGGCCCAGACUCCUACGGGAGGCAGCAGUGGGGAAUAUUGCACAAUGGGCGAAAGCCUGAUGCAGCAACGCCGCGUGAGGGACGACGGCCUUCAGGUUGUAAACCUCUUUUAGCAGGGAAGAAGCGAAAGUGACGGUACCUGCAGAAAAAGCGCCGGCUAACUACGUG